RNAcentral lists this ribosomal RNA (465 nucleotides) under uncultured bacterium. RNAcentral's name for it is "SSU rRNA". It matches the Rfam family "Bacterial small subunit ribosomal RNA", at positions 26 to 518 of the family's 1533-position model. The record is from RNAcentral.
AGGACAAACGCUGGCGGCGUGCCUAAGACAUGCAAGUCGAACGGAAGGCUUCGGCCUUGAGUGGCGGACGGGUGAGGAGCGCGUGGAGAACCUGCCCCGGGGUGGGGGAUAACAGUCGGAAACGAUUGCUAAGACCGCAUACGACCAUUCGUUGCAGGAUGAAUGGGGAAAGCAGCGAUGUGCCCUGGGAGGGCUCCGCGUCGGAUUAGCUAGUUGGUGGGGUAACGGCCUACCAAGGCUGCGAUCCGUAGCCGGACUGAGAGGUUGGCCGGCCACAUUGGGACUGAGACACUGCCCAGACUCCUACGGGGGGCUGCAGUAACGAAUCUUCCGCAAUGCACGCAAGUGUGACGGAGCGACGCCGCGUGUGGGACGAAGCCCUUCGGGGUGUAAACCACUGUCAGGGGAUAGAAAGUUCUGAUCAUCCCCAGAGGAAGGCACGGCUAACUCUGUGCCAGCAGCCGC